UGGGGGAUAUUGCACAAUGGGGAAACCCUGAUGCAGCAACGCCGCGUGAAGGAAGAAGGUCUUCGGAUUGUAAACUUCUGUCCUCAGGGAAGAUAAUGACGGUACCUGAGGAGGAAGCUCCGGCUAACUACGUGCCAGCAGCCGCGGUAAUACGUAGGGAGCGAGCGUUGUCCGGAUUUACUGGGUGUAAAGGGUGCGUAGGCGGAUAGGCAAGUCAGUGGUGAAAUCUAUGGGCUUAACCCAUAAACUGCCAUUGAACUGUUAUCUUGAGUGGAGUAGAGGCAGGCGGAAUUCCCGGUGUAGCGGUGAAAUGCGUAGAGAUCGGGAGGAACACCAGUGGCGAAGGCGGCCUGCUGGGCUUUAACUGACGCUGAGGCACGAAAGUGUGGGUAGCAAACAGGAUUAGAUACCC
This 412-nucleotide ribosomal RNA is filed under the name uncultured bacterium. RNAcentral describes it as "bacterial SSU rRNA". It matches the Rfam family "Bacterial small subunit ribosomal RNA", at positions 355 to 787 of the family's 1533-position model. The record is from RNAcentral.